This 344-nucleotide ribosomal RNA is filed under the name uncultured bacterium. RNAcentral's name for it is "bacterial SSU rRNA". It matches the Rfam family "Bacterial small subunit ribosomal RNA", at positions 32 to 350 of the family's 1533-position model. The record is from RNAcentral.
AAUCAACGCUGGCGGCGUGCCUAACACAUGCAAGUCGAACGCGAAAGCCCCUUCGGGGGUAAGUAGAGUGGCGUCCGGGUGAGUAACACGUGGGUAAUCUGCCUUCGGGUGGGGGAAGUAACCCACGGGAAACGUUAGGGCUAAUACCGCAUAAUGCAGCGGCACCUAAUGGUGAUUAGUUGUUAAAGCGGGGGAGUCGCAAGACCUCGCGCCUGAAGAGGAGCCUGCGGCAGAUUAGCUAGNGGUGAGGUAAUGGCUCACCAAGGCAUCGAUCUGUAGCUGGUCUGAGAGGACGGCCAGCCACACUGGCACUGACACACGGGCCAGACCCCUACGGGAGGGCA